This 258-nucleotide long non-coding RNA is filed under the name Zostera marina. RNAcentral's name for it is "long non-coding RNA (ZMAR_LNC000324)". The record is from RNAcentral. Lineage: Eukaryota; Viridiplantae; Streptophyta; Magnoliopsida; Alismatales; Zosteraceae.
GGGAACUCCGCGGGAAACCGGACCGGAACUCAAGUGUGCAGAGCUCUGCUUCGCUAGGAAUUCUUCUUCUCCAAAUGACCUCCCUUUAAUGAGUGGGGGAUGCCCUCUAUUUAUAGGGGUUCUUAUGGGGUCAAUCUGGUCAUUUGGGCAGUAACCGCCUAACUGCCUAACUGAUCAGAUUGGGUCCAGGGGUCGACUUUCCAGAGAUCGACUUUCUGGGGGUCGACUUUUACUGGUGAUCGACUUUACUCAAAAGUC